CAAUAGCGUAUAUUAAAGUUGUUGCGGUUAAAAAGCUCGUAGUUGGAUUUCUGCUGAGAACGACCGGUCCGCCCUUUGGGUGUGUAUCUGGCUCUUUCUUGGCAUCUUCUUGGUGAACGUUGCUGCACUUGACUGUGUGGAGCGCUACCCAGGACUUUUACUUUGAGGAAAUUAGAGUGUUUCAAGCAGGCAUACGCCUUGAAUACAUUAGCAUGGAAUAAUAAGAUAGGACCUCGGUUCUAUUUUAUUGGUUUCUAGAGCUGAGGUAAUGAUUAAUAGGGAUAGUUGGGGGCAUUCGUAUUUAACUGUCAGAGGUGAAAUUCUUGGAUUUACGCAAGACAAACAGCUACGAAAGCGUCUGCCAAGGAUGUUUUCAUUAA
Molecule: ribosomal RNA, 380 nt
Filed under: uncultured eukaryote
Lineage: Eukaryota
Description: partial 18S ribosomal RNA
Rfam family: Eukaryotic small subunit ribosomal RNA
Source: RNAcentral